This 1431-nucleotide ribosomal RNA is filed under the name Ligilactobacillus salivarius. RNAcentral's name for it is "bacterial SSU rRNA". It matches the Rfam family "Bacterial small subunit ribosomal RNA". The record is from RNAcentral. Lineage: Bacteria; Bacillati; Bacillota; Bacilli; Lactobacillales; Lactobacillaceae.
UGCAAGUCGAACGAAACUUUCUUACACCGAAUGCUUGCAUUCACCGUAAGAAGUUGAGUGGCGGACGGGUGAGUAACACGUGGGUAACCUGCCUAAAAGAAGGGGAUAACACUUGGAAACAGGUGCUAAUACCGUAUAUCUCUAAGGAUCGCAUGAUCCUUAGAUGAAAGAUGGUUCUGCUAUCGCUUUUAGAUGGACCCGCGGCGUAUUAACUAGUUGGUGGGGUAACGGCCUACCAAGGUGAUGAUACGUAGCCGAACUGAGAGGUUGAUCGGCCACAUUGGGACUGAGACACGGCCCAAACUCCUACGGGAGGCAGCAGUAGGGAAUCUUCCACAAUGGACGCAAGUCUGAUGGAGCAACGCCGCGUGAGUGAAGAAGGUCUUCGGAUCGUAAAACUCUGUUGUUAGAGAAGAACACGAGUGAGAGUAACUGUUCAUUCGAUGACGGUAUCUAACCAGCAAGUCACGGCUAACUACGUGCCAGCAGCCGCGGUAAUACGUAGGUGGCAAGCGUUGUCCGGAUUUAUUGGGCGUAAAGGGAACGCAGGCGGUCUUUUAAGUCUGAUGUGAAAGCCUUCGGCUUAACCGGAGUAGUGCAUUGGAAACUGGAAGACUUGAGUGCAGAAGAGGAGAGUGGAACUCCAUGUGUAGCGGUGAAAUGCGUAGAUAUAUGGAAGAACACCAGUGGCGAAAGCGGCUCUCUGGUCUGUAACUGACGCUGAGGUUCGAAAGCGUGGGUAGCAAACAGGAUUAGAUACCCUGGUAGUCCACGCCGUAAACGAUGAAUGCUAGGUGUUGGAGGGUUUCCGCCCUUCAGUGCCGCAGCUAACGCAAUAAGCAUUCCGCCUGGGGAGUACGACCGCAAGGUUGAAACUCAAAGGAAUUGACGGGGGCCCGCACAAGCGGUGGAGCAUGUGGUUUAAUUUGAAGCAACGCGAAGAACCUUACCAGGUCUUGACAUCCUUUGACCACCUAAGAGAUUAGGCUUUCCCUUCGGGGACAAAGUGACAGGUGGUGCAUGGCUGUCGUCAGCUCGUGUCGUGAGAUGUUGGGUUAAGUCCCGCAACGAGCGCAACCCUUGUUGUCAGUUGCCAGCAUUAAGUUGGGCACUCUGGCGAGACUGCCGGUGACAAACCGGAGGAAGGUGGGGACGACGUCAAGUCAUCAUGCCCCUUAUGACCUGGGCUACACACGUGCUACAAUGGACGGUACAACGAGUCGCGAGACCGCGAGGUUUAGCUAAUCUCUUAAAGCCGUUCUCAGUUCGGAUUGUAGGCUGCAACUCGCCUACAUGAAGUCGGAAUCGCUAGUAAUCGCGAAUCAGCAUGUCGCGGUGAAUACGUUCCCGGGCCUUGUACACACCGCCCGUCACACCAUGAGAGUUUGUAACACCCAAAGCCGGUGGGGUAACCGCAAGGAGCCAGCCGUC